RNAcentral lists this small nuclear RNA (99 nucleotides) under Octodon degus (degu). Lineage: Eukaryota; Metazoa; Chordata; Mammalia; Rodentia; Octodontidae. The record is from RNAcentral.
CUGCUCACUUCAGCCGCACAUACGCUAAAAUUGGAGCAUAGAUUAGCAUGCACCCUGCGUGAGGAUGGCAUGGACAUUUGUGAAGCUUUCCAUAUUUAA